Molecule: unclassified non-coding RNA, 8982 nt
Filed under: Nilaparvata lugens (brown planthopper)
Lineage: Eukaryota; Metazoa; Arthropoda; Insecta; Hemiptera; Delphacidae
Description: serine/threonine-protein kinase N, transcript variant X1
Source: RNAcentral
UUGUUUGAAAGUGCGCCCGCAGUGGAUGUGCACACCGGUUUAGGCCACUUUCUCCAUGUUCGCGGUCUCGGGUUCGGUUCCUGGCUGUACCCGGCUAUUAUUUCUUCCUUUCCUCAAUUAUUAUCAUCUGCAAUUGUUCCGCCAGUCAUCGUAAACUUUCUGUGUACAGUGUGUUUAUCCGCUCAGUGCUGUGUGUUUUGCUAUUACCAUGCUGUCUGUCCCAUGAUAGUGACUGGAUGUUUUUCAUAGGGCAUUGUUCAAGUGUUGCCUGAAAAAGUGACGUUUGUGGUACAUGAUGGUUUUCCACAAGGAUAAACAAGUUAAGUUGAAGUCUCUGAUGUUCAAGGGUGACUACAUCAGACACCCGGUGCUGUACGAGCUAAGCCACAAGUACGGCGUGCAGACGGAAUGCGUGUCGGAGGCGGCGCUGCCCUGCAAGCUGGAGGAGCUGAAGGAGCUGAUCCGACGCGAGAUCCGCAAAGAGCUGAAGAUCAAAGAGGGCGCAGAGAAGCUGCGUGAAGUGGCCACCGACCGCAAGUCGCUCAGCGAUGUCGCGCACAUCGUCAAGAAGUCCAACAGCAAGCUGGGCGAGCUGCAGGCCGAGCUGCACGAGUUGGAGUCGCAGAUCAUCCUCACGCAGGGCCACACGCCGGCGCCUGUCAGGCCGCUCACGCUGCCCACCGCUAACGCCACCGCUUCCAACGGCCAUGAAACAGUGAUGUCUCCCGUUGCAGCCUGCAGCCAAGCUCAGGACAGCUCUGGGGCUGCCAAUGAUCCACGGCUGGUCUCCCUUGAAAAACAACUCAACAUUGAAUUAAAGGUGAAACAAGGCGCGGAAAAUAUGAUCCAGAGCUUGAGCGGCGGUCACAACAGGGACAAGAAGUUGCUGGCCGAAGCACAGCAGAUGCUGGCCGACUCCAAAGCCAAGAUAGAGUUCAUCCGCAUGCGGAUCAUGAAGGCGAAGCAGAACCGCCAACACAAGGUCCAGGAUCCCGCCUCCGCCAAUGGCGAUGCCAAUCAUAACAAAGAUAAAUUCGAACGUAACCUGGAGCCGCCACUGGAGGACCGAGUGGAAGAACUGAGGCACAGGCUGAGGAUAGAGGCGGCUGUGGUCGAGGGCGCCAAGAAUGUCAUCAGGCUGCUACAGAGCUCCAAAGUUGCUGACAAAAAGGCGCUGCAAGAAGCGCAAGCGAGUCUGUCAGAGUCAAGCCGCAAACUGGACCUGUUGCGCUGCUCGCUGGAGCUGCGUCGCCAAGAGCUGCCGGCCGACUCGUCUGCGGCUGCACAGCUGAAGCGGGAGCUGCAAAGCGUGCAGGCGGCUAGCCCUGUGCCUGUCACCUACACCAGUCUGCAGCCCUUCCGCGGCGACAGCUCCAAGCCCGCACACAGCUCCCCCUCGCAGCUCAACCGCUGCGCCGCCGUCACCGGCAAGCUCGAAGUUAGACUGAUGGGUUGCCAAGAUCUGUUGGAAGAGGUGCCUGGGCGAUCCCGCCGGGAGAAGGAGAACUCGUCCAGUCCGGGUGACCUGCGCUCUUUCGUGAAGGGAGUCACCGGUCGCAGCUCCAGCAAGUCAUACAGUGUCAAAGACGAAACCAGUAACGAGAUAAUGGCAGUGCUGAAGCUGGACAACCAGACGGUGGCGCAGACGAGCUGGCGCCUGUGCUCGCAGCAGGCCUGGGACCAGCGUUUCUCCAUCGACCUGGACAGGUCGCGCGAGUUGGAGAUCGGCGUCUUCUGGCGCGACUGGCGCUCGCUCUGCGCCAUCAAGUUCCUGCGCCUAGAGGAGUUCAUCGACGACAUCCGGCACGGCAUGGCGUUGCAGCUCGAACCGCAGGGACUGCUCUUUGCCGAGAUAAAAUUCCUGAACCCGAUGAUAUCGAGAAAGCCUCGACUGCAACGUCAGCGCAAGAUCUUCAAGCAGCAGGUGAAGAACUUCCCGCGGGCCAACCAGAUGAACAUCAACAUCGCGACGUGGGGCCGCCUCAUCAAGCGGUCCACUCCCUCGCACAUGCGCGCGCACUCCGACAGUCCACCCUCCACGGGUCCGGAAAUAGUGGAGGAAAAGCCAGAAGCACCAGGCGAGGCGCCGGAACCAGGCGUAGCCGGACUUGGAGGUGCACGCCCCCUGGGGGUGGCCGUGCUGCCCCCAUUGCCCCCCGGCGGCAACUUGCUGCCCUCCUCAUUCUCCAAAAAGCGGCCUCCCACCCUCACCCUGCCACCACCUCCGCCACCGCCUCCCAAACUCGAUCAAGAGCUUGCCAGCGCUUUGAGCGAAUUUGACUUCCUGCAGGAAGAGGACAAGAUGGCGGCGGCUGCGUGCAGCUCUACUGCGCAGUCGCAGUCGACGGUGACCAUCAGCCCGGCCACGCCAUUGGUCAGCACGCCCUCCGCACACCCCACCCCCUCUCCCUCGCCACUCGUCGAGUUCCCCGCUGAUGAGCCGGCUUUCGAGCAGCGAGGAGGUGGAGCCAUUGUUAAUAUCAACGUUGUCCGUUCUCUGGAGUAUAGAGACAGCGCAUACAUAUCCAGGCCUCAAUCACAAUUCGCUGGCAUGAGUAUGGAGAACUUCAGGCUGCUCAGUGUGCUCGGAAGAGGUCACUUUGGAAAGGUAAUCCUAUCGCAGUACCGAAACACAGGCGAGUACUUUGCUAUCAAGGCACUAAAGAAGGGCGACAUAAUCGCUCGCGACGAGGUGGAGUCGCUGCUGUCUGAGAAGCGCAUCUUCGAGGUGGCCAACCAGAUGCGGCAUCCGUUCCUGGUGAACCUGUUCGCCUGCUUCCAGACGGAUGCUCACGUUUGCUUUGUGAUGGAGUAUGCGGCCGGCGGCGACCUCAUGAUGCACAUUCAUGCCGACGUCUUCACUGAGCCACGCGCCGUCUUCUAUGCCGCAUGCGUCGUGCUCGGCCUACAGUAUCUGCACGAUAGCAAGAUCAUAUACAGAGAUUUGAAACUGGACAACCUGCUGCUGGACACGGACGGCUACGUGAAAAUUGCCGACUUUGGGCUGUGCAAGGAGGGAAUGGGCUUCGGCGACCGCACGGGCACCUUCUGCGGCACCCCCGAGUUCCUGGCGCCCGAGGUGCUCACUGAGACCUCGUACACGCGCGCCGUCGACUGGUGGGGCCUCGGCGUACUCAUCUUCGAGAUGCUCGUCGGAGAGUCGCCAUUCCCUGGUGAUGACGAGGAGGAAGUGUUCGACUCGAUAGUCAAUGAUGAGGUGCGCUACCCUCGCUUCCUCUCGCUCGAGGCAAUCGCUAUCAUGAGACGGUUGCUGAGGAAAAAUCCGGAACGUCGACUAGGUUCUAGUGAGCGCGAUGCUGAGGAUGUGAAAAAGCAGGCCUUCUUCAGGCACAUCGCGUGGGACGACCUCCUGCAGCGUAAAGUUAAACCUCCAUUCGUGCCCACUGUGAACUCAGUGGAGGACGUAAGCAAUUUCGAUGAAGAGUUUACAUCAGAGAAGCCCCACCUCACUCCCCCCAAAGAUCCACGCGCUCUCACUGAUGACGAACAGAAUCUAUUCAAGGACUUCACAUACAUGGCCGAUUGGUGUUGACAAAAACAAUCAAACCUCAUCUGUUGAUCGCGUCGAACCAGGUGUUAUAUUUUCGGUAUAGGCCACGCCACGUUCUAUUCGGGUAGCUCUUUCGAAUAAUUCGAAGUAAAAAUACAAAAUGUACUAUGAUCCAAGAUCUUUUCGCAGUAGAUAAUACAAGUAUUGCACCUUAAUUUAGUUCUAAACUAUUUAUGUGCUACAAACUCAGUAAUUCAAUGUAUCUGAUAUAAUAUAUUAUUAUAUAUAAUAUAUAUUUGUAAGUGCAGGGAGCUCAUGAAUUUUCGCAUAUUUCAUAAAGUUAAUUACAUCUGUGCCAUUCUUCAUUAUCAAUAACCGCGUAAUUCAAUCUUGAAAUGUAUGAAAUACCUCAUUUCAUUCAUCAAAAAUCUUUUUGAACCCAUUUUUAUAUGAUCAAUAUGAAAUAAAUAAUCGAUGUCGUUUGUAUUCAAGAUGUGGCUGCCAUUCGAUCGGUUGUAUAGGUUCUAAUAUAUAAUUCCGAUUUGUGUCGGAUCUAAAGUGCAGUGAAACUAACUUCGUGGGAAAUUGCCAAAUACAAACUAGAAUUAUAUAAAUUUAAGGAUAUAAUGUGUAUUGUACUGCUCCAUCCCCAGCUAGAGUGGUCUGUUUUAUAUUGUUGUAAUAUUAUGUUCCUGUCCUCUCUAAUAACUCAUCUCAAUUCUAAUAAUUAGGAAAAAUAAUUGAACUAAUUAUAGGUCAACUAAUAAUGAUCAUUACUUCAACUUUUUUCUGUAUUGAUGUAUCAUAAUAUUUCUACAAAUCACAUUCGUCCUAUUUCUGUUUCUUAUUUGUUUGCUGUAACUAAUGAAUAAACAUUUACGAUCUCGCCUAGAGUCUGAUAUUAUUUUCUUCUAUCAAAAAUAAUAUCGUACGAUUUGAAGUUCAUUAAUCAAUCUAGAAAUACUACUAUCAGUGAUAAUGUAUAGGAUACAAGUAUAUAGAUCUAUUUCAAAUUUCACUAGUUGAUCCAAGCUGAUGAGCUUUUAGGUUAUAUUCAUCUAAUUUGAAAAUAACUUCCCUAGACAAUUAUUAUUAUUAUUUUCUUUGUAUAUUUAUUUCAAAUGUAGCAUCACAUAUUUUAUUGUAUAUUUGUAAAUUGGCAACUUGAUUCGUUUUAAUAUUAGUUAGUCCUUCUAUUAGAUUGUUUCUAUGUCGGAUAUUGUUAUUUAACAUUUUAACCCUAUGAUUUAUCUGUUAGCUUGAGGAUUUUAAUUCAUCAAUCAUUUAUAUUACUUCAUUUUAUACUCGCAUUUCAUUCCUGUCAUUCGCUCUCUUUUCACUUGAAAAUUUUCUUAUAUUUUCAUUUCUAGAAUCACAACUAUUUUUCGCAUUUCUAUUUAUAUCUAUUGUUUUAUGAGUUCUAUAAAGACCAGUAGUCUACCGUAGUAUUUCUAUCACUGAUAUUAACAUUUCGAAUAUUAGUAAAAUAAUUGUAUAAUUCUCCUAGACUAUCGCAUUUUAUUUGUUUAUUUUUAAUUAAAGAUAGUUCAUAAAAACUCUUUACUCAAUUUCUGAUUAUUGUUUUCAUGUUUAUGCCACAGUUAAAUUCUGUUUAUGUAUCUUAAAAUUAUAUAAUAAAACUUACAAGAUUUAUUUUCAAUUUACAUAAUUUAUAAUCCUUUGAAAUGUAUUCACUUUCACCAAACAAAAAUGAGCUGCUUCUCCCAUAAAACGCUAGUUUAGGUUUAUCGCGAACAGUUGACCUCUGCUCUGGAUUGCAUCCAAUGCUAUUCAUUGCGAGACCAUAUUAGGCAUUUUCAGAGUCGGCAGGGCAUGAAGCUUUUCGAUUGGCUAAAAAACGUUUAAUAUGGUCUCGCCCUAAUACGCUUUUCUCUUUCACUCACUCAAAUACACAUUUUAUGAAUAUUGGGAAUUUGCAAUAGAUGUACAUUCCGUUGAUAGUGAUUGAUUUUUGUUGACUUUGAUUAGUAGCCUACAUAUGCACACAAGGCAUAGCAUUCUCGUUAUCAGUUUGUUCAUCAAUGAUCUUAUAUUGAAAUAUUGGCCGGUUCACAAUAAAAUUAUUUUUUAAUAGAAUCACAUGGAAUCUAUUUUUUCUUCCAUACAUUUAGAACGACAGAAUGCAUUUACGCACAGAUAUUAGCUUAGCAACCUAAGCUCAUAUAGUGUUGGACUCUUAAUUUCUAGAACUUCGAAUCUGUUCUAAGUGAGUGUUCUACUUCAUUGUAUAAACAUAUUUUUCGGCAGACUUUAGAUUGAAGAAAAUUACUACCUAUCUGAAUUAGAUAUCGCCUCAUGAAUGACUAGGUUAUUUUCUUCUUCCCAAGGAUAUAUUUCUAUUUAUUUAUUCACACAUACAUUUUACAAAAUCCAAAUUCACAACAAACAAUAGUUAUAGCGGGUGAUAACGUUAAUAAAAUUUGAGGAAACGUGUUGAUGCACGUUUAAAAACAUGAACAAGCUUUAAAUUUUUAUACUGUGUGUGACUCAACACAAUUUUCUGAUUUAUUGUACUGUAAUUCAAUAAACCAUUACUAAAGUAACGCUCCAAUUCACAUAAAAAAUAAUUAGCCUACUAGAUUAUAAAAUGACUGUAGAGUAAUAUAAAAUUAAGCUCAUCCAAGGUACUCGAAUUUGUUGUAGCGUAAUUGAAUAAGAAACAUUGUGAUCUUUGAUGAUUAAAAUCCAUUCUAAAUUUUAAACGCUUUGUAAAGAUUGAGAAGCCCUAAAUAUUUUAAAUAUUUUUAAGAUUCCAUUUGAACAUAACUAAAACUCAUUCUAUUACAAAAAAUUCAUUGAUUAUUGCCCUCUAAAUGAAUUAUUAUUACACACAUGAUAUUAAUGUUUAUUACUGUAUCAACAAAGUACUCACAUAAUUCUUUACUGAAUGAAUCUUGAGUGUUUAAAAGUAACAUACGCUAAAUUUAGAAAUCAAAGUUAUUAGUUGAAAAAUCAUUUUAAAAUUCAUGUUGUUUUUUGUUGCUUUGACAUAAAUUUUGUUAUCAAAUAAUCGUUUUACAUUACAUAAGUUGAUAUAUCGUAACUUAUUAUCAGUACCGCACAUUAUUAUAAGCCUACUUGAGAAAUUCAAUUCAGUGGAAUGAUAGGAGUGUGAUCUCUCUCGCAUUAACCAUACCUUUCCAUAUUUUUAAUAGUCUCAAGCAUAGUGAUUGUUAGAUUAGAGUGAGAGUGGCUUCAACACAAAUAAAGUAUAAUAUAUUAUAGUUUUCAUGAACUAAAUUUGCUAGAGAAUUAUAGUAACUUACCAAUUUUCUAAAGAUAGAAUCACUCGAAAUGUUCAGAUCAUUAAUAAAAUCUACAAAAUGUAAAUGAAGGAGUUGGCAUGUCUCAUAUUGCUUAGACCUUUGAUUUCAUCGACAAUGUUGAACAAUAUUCAUGGCAUGGUAUUAUGAAAUUGGAAAUAAUUAUUCUAUAAAGCAGUAUUCUAUUACUGAAUUGUAAAGAAUUCUGCUAAAAUCCAAGCGAAGAUCUUCUUCUGAACAUUUAAGCCUUGAUUAAGGAGAUUAAAUCUAGAAAUUAAGAAAUUUGACAAUGUAACUUACGGUGUCUUCUAGGGCAAGUUAAAUUGUUUAAAAAUAUUGAGGUUCAAACAGAUCAACUAGUAGCCUUUAAUUUACCUCUUAUAAACACUUUUUUAUUAUUUUAUUUUAAGAAAGUGUUCAUAGAAGGUUAAAAUGGUACUAGUUGAUGUAUUCAAAAAUAUUUGACAAUAUAUUUAUCAAAAUCUUUAAUGUUAUGUGAUUUACACAGUAUUAAAAAAUUGCUCAUUUAUGAAUUCCAACAAGACAAUACAAAAUAGAUGAGUCGUUAGAACUCCAAAGCUUUAUUGUAGUUUUCUAUGUGAUUGAUUACUCAACUCAUCAAGAUGGAUUUUUCAUUCAAAAGAUUUUCUAUAAAUUUACUGAAAAAUUCACUACUGUAGAGAAAACAGGAGUCAAUUCCAGUUAUAAAUUCUUGUUUGCUCUCAUAUCAUAUUUUAGUCCGUACUAUCCGGAUUUCAGUCAGUAUUAUAUCAUUCUAUCAAAUUUUAAUGAUAAAUCGCAUAAAAUUAAUUAUUGUGCUUUUCACCUUCAACCGGUUUGUAUUUUUCAAAAUUUAUAAAAUUUAGUAGAUUGCUCAAGAUCUCUUCUCACCUAGCCUAAACCUAACCUAGGUUUAUGUAGGUAUUAUGAUAUGGAUAUGUUACAAUAGUGAAUGAGAAAAACAAGAUUAUUAAUGACAUAAAUUUAUCAUAGAUAAAAUUUACUCGUAUUAAAGUCACUAGGGCUAUUUAUUAGUGUAAAUUUUCAUGAUAUUGAAGCAAUAUUUAUAAAAUUGAUAUGAAAUUAGAACUUUGUUUGAUUUUCUUGGAUGGAUACUUUAAUUUAUCAAAUCAAUUAGUGUAAGUCUUAUCUCAAAAUGUGAAUCAAUUGUUUUAACGUACGGUACAAAUUUCUUUCUACGUUUGAAUAAAGAUGCGAUUUUUGUAGUGUUAGUGUAGUUUUGAAGUGCCUAUAGAGAGUUGAAAUGAAAACCUUUGAAUAUGGGGCUUAUUCAUCGACAAAACCAAUCAAUUCAUAUUUUGAAUCAAUCGUCAAAGCGCCUCUACCAUAUUCCUUACAUUCAUAAAUAAAACAGAUCAUCCUGUUGAUUCAUUUGUUUGCCUUAACCACGAAGUGCCAAUUCUUAUUAAUAAUUCCUCCUGAUUAUUCAUGAGCGUAUAUAUUUUAUAACGUAUUUCAUACAUUUCCUGUUAUUCUCAUGAUAAUCAAUUCAUGAAUAUUUUUGUAGUCCUCAUGAAGCUUGUUGACUCAAGUGAAUUUUAAAUGUUAUAUUUUUGUUGCAUUUGACUUUGAAAAGGUAUUUUAUACUAUUAUUCUGAUAAAUUGGAAAAAUAUAUUUGUAAGGUACUUUAUAACUUCCAAUGGCUAGAACAUUUUUUAUAAAGCUGUAUACUUUCCGUUAUUAAGUUGAGUCGAAUGAUAAUGUUUUCAACAUAAUUUUACUAAUAAAUGAAAGCAUGGAGUUGAAAGCUUUUAUAGUAAACCCCAAAAAGUUUAUUAUUUCCAAAAAAAUCUUAUAUUUAAAUAAAUGACUCACACGAGGCCUUUAGAUAUAAUUCUCUUGAAAUUCGUUCUGUACCGUUAUUCUAUUCUUCAUAAUUAUAUUUGUAUGUAUCAUUUUUACUUCUUCUCUUUUAUUGUUAGUUUAAUCCCAACAUAUAUGCUUGUAAAAUAAUCAAUAGCAAGGGAAAAUCGUAUUUCUAUUACCUUUGAUUACAGAUCCGUUUUUUUAAAUUCUCAAUAAUUCUCAUUAAUAAGCUCUAUACAUACUAGAACUAUCUGCAUGUGAUUCUCUUAAACACGUUCAUUAUAUCUUCAUCUGCAAAUUGAACAUCUUUUCUGUGCUUUUCAUAAUAAGCUCUAUGUACUAAUUUUAAUAAUGACGUG